This 1556-nucleotide long non-coding RNA is filed under the name Pan troglodytes (chimpanzee). RNAcentral describes it as "long non-coding RNA NONPTRT013625". The record is from RNAcentral. Lineage: Eukaryota; Metazoa; Chordata; Mammalia; Primates; Hominidae.
GCAGAUCUCUGGCUUCUCCUCUAGUGGAUGAGUCAGCAGCUCUCACAGGUUUCCAGGUAGCUUCUGAGAAAUACUGAGGUUGAAUAGGUGAUUUUCCGUGUGCACCCUGGCAAGACCACUUGGUGGAGGAAUGCAAAUGGAGUAAGCCUUUAGGAAGAUGCUGGUUUGGUUCUCAGGCUUUUCUAUGGCAGAAAAGGGUCCUGGCAGGUAAGGUCAGAGUCUGGGAUUUCAUGCAUUAGAACUCUAGGCUAGAAAAACAGGGUCUGGCUCCUGGCAUACAUGCUUGUGUUCAAAAUUUAUUCAUUCAUUCAACAAAUAUCCAUUAGGUAUCUUCUUUGCACCAGGUUUUUCCUAGGUUCUUUGGGUAGAAUUGUAAAUAGAAUAUACCUCUUUGUCUGAAGCACUGACAGCUUGGAUAUAGGACAUGAGUAAGUAGAGAUCUAGUCCUGGCUUUAUCUUUAUAAUAUAUAGUAAGACUAACAAGAGAUUUGGAAUCUUAAUGCAUGUUUUAUACCUUUUGCUACUCAAUAUUGGGUUGCUAGGACAUGUAGCUAUAAUUCAUUCAUUUUCUCUUCUGUAGUUUUUCCAUCUCAUGAAUCUUUCACACUCGAUCCAAUCUCCUUUGAGUAGAUCUGAACUGCUUUCAGGCUUGGACUAUUUUACAUUAUGUUGAAAAGAACCUUCUUGUCCAUAUUUCCUAGUACACAGGUUCAUAGAUAUUCCCAGUACUGGGUUCAUUCCACCCAGUAGUGGAAUGAAAUUAGUAACCAAUAAGAUAAAUACAUCUAUGACUUUAACAGAUAAUGCAAAAUUGUUCAAGAACAGUGAACGAGAGUUCCCAUUUUCCCAUAUUAUAUCUAGUACUUGGCAUUCUCACUUUUACAUGUAGUUAGUCUGGUGAAUAUGAAGUAUCUCAUUAUGUUUAAUGUUAAAGUCACACAUAUCCUGUUGUGAUUAGGGCCCUAAUCUAUGGGCCCUAAAUCUAUGGCUUGUGGCUAUAGAUUCUCAAUGAAUAGUUGUCUCCCCUGGACCCAGAGUCAAGGCCCACUUUAUUUGCUUACUUUACUUACUUUGUUUGCUUGUUUUCUGUUUUCCUUUUUCACUUAGUCCCUAGACUGACUUUUAACCCUAUGAGUCCUAAUGUCUUUUUUCCCCGGAGCAAAAAUAGGGAGCAGUACACAUCCCAGAUGAGCUACCAGUGCCAUGUGCCAGUCAGGGGUUCAAUCAGAUAAGAACAACCAGUAGGAAAUAUAUAUUAAGAAAUUCAUUGCAAGAAAUUGGCUCAUGCAGUAGUGGGGGCUGGCUAGGCAAGUCCCAAAUUCAUGAGCAGGCCAUCCAAAAGGGCAGGCUAGAACUCUUGGGCACAGGCUGAAACAGCUGUGCUCAAAAAAGACAACAUUUCUUCUUCUGGAAAGCCUCAGCUCUGCUCUAGACCCAGUUCUGCUUUUCGACUGAUUAAAUCAGGCCUGCUACAUUAUGAAGAGUAAUUUUCCUUACUAACAGCCAACUGAUUAUAGGCUUUAAUCACAUCUACAAAAUGCCUUCCUAGCAACACC